UUCAAAACCCUUGAUAACUGCAGUACAUCGGUAAUGGGGUUCCUGAUAGGGAAAGGACGAUGAGAAAGAGAAUGUGACCUAUAGCAGUAAAAGCUGUGUACAUUAAAGAGGAACACUCACUGGAUCCGCUCCAGAAGUGAAAAGAGCCAGAAGUUCAUGUACAGUACGAUAUGAGUCACGCAAAUGGCACUGUAAUUGUUCUGGGGUGGCAAACUUGGGAGGAACGUAGGUUACAGUGCGAGGCGCAGCCGUGAUACUGCAAGGAUUUGUGGUAGUUAGCACAUGAAGUUGUGGGGGAAAAGGCAGAGGAAAAAGAAGCAUACAAUGCACGAAGCUGGUCUGAUCGAGAAUCUGAUUGAUGGAGGCAUAUCCUGCUUGCUGAGCAACUAUUCGC
RNAcentral lists this long non-coding RNA (394 nucleotides) under Linum usitatissimum (flax). RNAcentral describes it as "long non-coding RNA (LUSI_LNC001430)". Lineage: Eukaryota; Viridiplantae; Streptophyta; Magnoliopsida; Malpighiales; Linaceae. The record is from RNAcentral.